GACGAACGCUGGCGGCGUGCUUAACACAUGCAAGUCGAACGGAAAGGCCCUGCUUUUGUGGGGUGCUCGAGUGGCGAACGGGUGAGUAACACGUGAGUAACCUGCCCUUGACUUUGGGAUAACUUCAGGAAACUGGGGCUAAUACCGGAUAGGAGCUCCUGCUGCAUGGUGGGGGUUGGAAAGUUUCGGCGGUUGGGGAUGGACUCGCGGCUUAUCAGCUUGUUGGUGGGGUAGUGGCUUACCAAGGCUUUGACGGGUAGCCGGCCUGAGAGGGUGACCGGCCACAUUGGGACUGAGAUACGGCCCAGACUCCUACGGAGGGCAGCAGUGGGGAAUAUUGCACAAUGGGCGGAAGCCUGAUGCAGCAGCGCCGCGUGCGGGAUGACGGCCUUCAGGUUGUAAACCGCUUUCGCCUGUGACGAAGCGUGAGUGACGGUAAUGGGUAAAGAAGCACCGGCUAACUACGUG
Molecule: ribosomal RNA, 468 nt
Filed under: uncultured bacterium
Lineage: Bacteria
Description: partial 16S ribosomal RNA
Rfam family: Bacterial small subunit ribosomal RNA
Source: RNAcentral